Neofelis nebulosa (Clouded leopard) is the source of this 5448-nucleotide long non-coding RNA. RefSeq lists it as uncharacterized. NCBI's taxonomy places the organism in Eukaryota, Metazoa, Chordata, Mammalia, Carnivora, Felidae. The transcript is spliced from 2 exons. The record is from RefSeq and is a predicted model, not a curated record.
AAUAAAAUAAAAUAAAAUAGAAAGUCCUGUGCAAACUGGGAUAUGUUGGUCACCUUUUAUGGUGGCAAAAGACCAGGGAACCUGGGUUCCAAGCUAAGCAAAGGCUUCCUUGCAGUCUCUGGUUUCCUCUGUCUUCCAUCCUUACAUCAAUACAGCCUCAACUCCGCUCACCCUGCCUAGUAACCCAGCUUACAGCUCUGGUGCCUGCCUGCCCCUCCCUUCAAUGGCCACACGGCCGGUACAUCUGCAGAUGGAGCUGGACUCCAUCUGUCUCUCAAGGGUUUUGUAUUCAAAAGAGGGAGAAGGUACAGCCUUUUCCUGCUAAAAAAAAAAAAAAAAAAAAAAAAAAAAGGAAAGAAAUAUAUGUAUAUAUUUCUAUGCCUCUAUUUCUGUAUCUCUAUAUCUCUGGAAGAAGAAAACUGGUCACAGUUUUUGUUUCUGGGAAAACAAACAAGGUGGCCAAGGCACAAGGGUAAGAGAUUAGGAGGGAGGCUUUUCCCUUUUUUAGUAGCUUUAUUGAGAUAUAAUUCACAUUCACCUAUUCACCUAUUUUAAGUGGACAAUUCAGUAUUUUCUAAUUUUUGACAGAUCUGUGCCACCAGGAAGGAGACUUUUUAAAAAUAUAUUUAUUUUGAAAGAGAGAGAGAUAGAGAGGGAGAGGGAGAGAGAAUGAGUGGGGGAGGGGCAGAGGGAGAGAGAGAAAGAGAGAGAGAGAAUCUUAAGCAGGCUCCACACCUAGGGCGGAGCCUGACACGGGGCUUUGAUGCUUCCGGGAUACAUGCGAUGAAAAGUCACAUGGGGCGCAAGCCACACCCCAAACAGCAAGACCCCUCAGUGUUUUCAUUGGUUGGGUAACUUUUGUUGCCAACCAUCAGAGAACCGAGGGGAGCUCCUCCUAUGACUGGGAUCCAGUCUUCCCCCUCUUGCAUCUCCAGGGACCUGCUUCUUUGCAGAGCACUGAUUUUAGCAUAGCACUAGGUCAGGAUUUUCAGGUACUUGUCACCAAGCAUGGCUUCCUGGGAUAGCACCGUGUACAAGGGGGUGAUCAUACAUUUGGUCUCACAACUCUCUCCAACACGGCACAAGUUAGAACAUCUUCAAAAAGGUGUUUAUGUUUAUCUUAAGUGUUCUUUCUAAAUUCACUCUGAUUUGCAACAGUGAAUCUAUGUUACCCGUGUAUUUUUUAAGUUAAAAAUAAGUUAAAAUUUAAGGCCUCCUACAGGAAGCCUUCCUGACUCCUCCCUCAUUUCCUCAUGAUAGUUUUGGUUCCUUUAGUUUCCAUAAAAUCAACCUCUAGCUCACCUCUAGCACAGAGAUUAUUCUAAGGCAUUUUAAUCACCUGUUUAAUUACCUGGGUCCCCUUUAGACUGUGAUUUCCUUAGGGCAGGUGCUGUGCCUUUCAUAACUGGGUCUCUAGGGUCUUGCAUGGAGACUGGUGCACUGAGCCUUCAUCUUUCCACCUCCCCUAAAGUGUCCCGCUUUUCACACCCAGCUCUGUCAACAACUAACCUUACCACACCGAUUCUCAAAGAACCCAAGGAAGACUUCUUUUCUUCAUUCGGCUGGCAUAUCUUACUAAGCCCUGAGUACCCAACUGUAUGCAAUAAUACGAGAAAGUGAGGAUUCCAGAGGGACUUGAACACACCCAUCUUAGGAAUGCUAGAAAUUAAGGCGAGUCCCAGGCAUGUUAUUUAGGUGGGAACUAUAUUCAUUCAUAUGUUCAUACCUCUGGAAUGAAAGUUAAAGGAAGGGAAGAGGGUGGUGAGUUAGGGGCUGGAACUAGAUCUUGAGACAAGAUAAAAAUUGGAGGGAGGAAGGACAGGGAAGGCACAAAUCUCUGCUUUGGAAAACAAACUGUUGGAGGAGGGACAGAGCAUCAUACAAACACUGAACUUACACAAAUUCAAUUAGGUAUACUUGGAAGAAAGGAAGGGAGGAAAAGGGAAAGAAGAAAAGGGGGAAAGGGUGGAAAAAAGAUACAAGAUGAAUAAAUAUUUAGAUGAUACAAGCUUUUAUAAUUUUUUUUAACAUACCAGAGAUCCUAUAUAACAUUUCACACAGUUGUUUCUAAAGAGCUUGAGAAGGAAGACGUGACAUCUAUUUUCCACUGGUGUGUAGGGAUUCAGUUUUGACCACUUGGAUUAUUAGAAAAGGUUUUUUUUUUUUAAGUUUAUUUAUUUUGAGAGAGACAGAGCACGAGUGGGGGAGGGGCAGAGAGGGAGAGAGAGAAUCCCAAGCAGGUUCCAUUUGCGCAGUCAGCACACAGAGCCCGAUGUGGGGCUCUAAUCCAUGAAACCGUGAGAUCACGGGUUGAGCCGAAAUCAAGAGUCGGUCACUUAACCGACCGAGCCACCCAGGCAGCCUGGGGAUUAUUAGGGGAGCUUUAAAAAACAAAACAAAACAAAACACAAAUGCCUGCAUCCCACCCGCAAAAAUCUGAUGUAAUUAAUUGGUCAGAGGUGCAGCCUGGGUUUCAGACUGGUUAAGAACUCCCAAGUAAUUUUCUUUAGCAAUUUUAAAAAUUGUGGUAAAAUGCACAGAACAUAAAAUUUAACAUCUUAACCAUUUUAAAAUUUUUUUUUAACUGGGGUUUAAAUAUACUCAUAAUGUUAGGCAACCAUCACCACCAUCCAUCUCCAAAACUCUUUUCAUCUGUAAAACUAAAACUCUAUACCCAUGGAACAAUAACUCGCACCCCUCACCUCAGCCCCAGGAAAUCAUCAUUCUACUUUCUGUCUAUAUGAUUUUGGCUAUUUAAGUACCUCAUAGAUGUGGAAUCAUACAGUACUUGUCUUUUGUGUCUGGCUUAGUUCAACUAGCAUGAUAUUGUCAAGGUUCAUCCAUGUUGUUAGCAUGUGUCAGAAUUCCCUUCCUUUUUUAAAAAUAUUUUUUAAAAAAUGUUUAUUUAUUUUUGAGACAGUGAGCAGGGGAGGGACAGAGAGAGAGGGAGACACAGAAUCCGAAGCAGGCUCCAGGCUCUGAGCUGUCAGCACAGAGUCCAACACGGGGCUCGAACUCACGUGCCACGAGAUCAUGACCUGAGCUGAAGUCAGACGCUUAACUGAGCCACCCAGGCACCCUGGAAUCCCCUUCCUUUUUAAGGCUGAAUAAUACUCCACUGUGUGUAUAUAACACAUUUUGCUUAUCCAUUUCACAUUGUAACUAUUGUGAAUAAUGCUUCUAUGAACAUGGGUGCACAGAUAUCUCUUUGAGACCCUGCUUUCAGUUCUUCUGUGUAUAUACCCAGAAGUGGAAUUGCUGGAUCAUAUGGUCAUUCUAUUUCUUUUCUUUCUUUUUUUUUUUUUUUUUGGUCAUUCUAUUUCAAGUGUUGGAGGAACCUCCACACUGUUUUCCAUAAUGGCUGCACCAAUUUACAUUUCCACUGACAGUGCAUAAGGGUUCUAAUUUCUCCCCAUGCUUGUCAACACUUGUUAUUUUCUGGGUUUUUGGUAGCGGUCAUACUAAUGGGUGUGGGGUGGUGUCCUCUCGUAGUUUUGGUUUGCAUUUCCCUAACGAUAGUGAUUUUAAGCGUCUUAUGAUGUGCUUAAUGGGGAUUCAUAUACCGUUUUAUGAAAAAUAUCUAUUCAAGUCCUUUCCUUGUUUUUGAGUCAGGUUGUUCAAUUUUUUGGCUGUUAAAUCUUAGAAGGCCUCUGUAUAUUCUGGAUAUUAAUCCAGAUCCCUUAUCAGAUACGUGAUUUACACAUAUUUUCUCCCAUUCUGUGGGUUGCCUUUUUAUUCUGUUGAAUAAAUCAUCAAAUGGGGGCACCUGGGUGGCUCAGUCAGUUGAGCAUCUGACUUCGGCUUAGGUCAUGAUCUCACAGUUCAUGAGUUCGAGCUCCAUGUCGGGCUCUGUGCUGACAGCUCCGAGCCUGGAGCCUGCUUUGGAUUCUGUGUCCCCCUUUCUCUCUGCCUCUUCUCCCCUGCUUGUGCUCUGUCUCUCUCUCAAAAACAAAUAAACAUUAAAAAAAAUUUAGGGUGCCUGGGUGGCUCAGUCAGUUAAGCAUCCUACUUUGGCUCAGGUCAUGAUCUCACAGUUCCUGGGUCCGAGCCCCGCGUGGGGCUUUGUGCUGACAGCUCAGAGCCCGGAGCCUGCUUUGGAUUCUGUGUCUCCCUCUCUCUCUGCCCUUCCCCCGCUCUCUCUCUCUCUCUCUCUCUCUCUUUCUCUCAAAAAUAAAUAAACAUUAAAAAAAAAUUUUUUUAACCAGAAAAGGUGGGGGGAGGGUGUGAAUCAAGCAUUUCAGUACAAACUAUACCACUGAGUAAUGAAACAUGAUGAGGGAGGCUUCUCUUUAUAGAAGUAUUCUACUAAUGAAGAAGUAAGGAUAGAAUUAGAAUUCUGCCGUUUUGUACCUCUGAUGAAUUAACGGGUGUAGACCCUAGAGCCAGGCAGUGGCAUCACAAUAGAUAGACAACCAUAUGUAAUAUACCACCGGAUAAAAGUAUAUGGUACUACUUAUGAAGUCAUCUUGCUACCAAAGAAAUGUUAAAAACCAAUCCUAAAUUGCAUCAAGCCUAUAGAUAUAACUACCCGUUCAUGGGAAAGACAAGGGACAGAGGAAUAUUUCAACUAACUCCACGGGGAUGCAAUAAGCAAAAUCUGAACUAUGAGAAACAGCAAACAAAUUACAAGGGGUAAAAAGAGAUGGGGGUGAUCCUGUAGAUUAAAAGAGAUUAAGAGGGGCGCCUGGGUGGCUCAGUCAGUUGAGUGCCCAACUCUUGAUUUCGGCUCAGGUUGUGAUCUCACCUUUUGUGAGUUUGAGCCCUGCGUUGAAAACUCCCCAUGAGGCUCCGUGCUCAUCAUGUGGGGUCUGCUUGGGAUUCUCUCUUUCCUUCUCUUUUCUUUCUGCUCCUCCCCUGCUGGUGCAUGCACACAUGCUCGCUCUCUCUCUCUCUCUCUCUCAAAAUAAAUAAACUUAAAAAAAUAAAAUAAAAGAGAUUUAAGAGAUGUCAAUCAGUUGCAGUGUGUGCACCUGUGCAGAAAAGAGUUAACACAGCGGGCCUGAGCCUGCUACCCUAAAAACGCCUGCUUGCAAGGAUGGCCCUUGGCUGGCAUCUGGGAACUUAGAUUGGGGUGGGUUCUCACCAUUCCCUAAUAAGAAUGUCUCACUUUGCAUAAACUAUAAAAACAAUGUAAUUUGUGCUGAAUACCUGCUUUCCUACUGGGAGUCUGGAAUUUUGGUACAUGCCAAGCAGUGGGUACCCAUAUAUGAUCAGCUCUGAGUAAAAUCCACAGUCACUGAGUCUCUAGUGAGUUUCUCUGGCAGACAUUUCACAUGUGUUGUCCUAAUUCGAUGCUGGAGGAGUUAAGUGCAUCGUGUGUGGCUCCUUUGGGAAAGGACUUUUGGAAGCUCCCUUCUAAUUUCCUCUGGAAUUCAUUCUGUAUGCCUUUUCCCUUUGCUGAUGUUGCUUGUGUCCUUUCUUUGUAAUAAAUUACAGCUAUGAGUAUGA